GUGCUUCUGUGCUUCCCGUCACCUGGGACAUAAUUCCAGUGGCCUUAAGCAAUUCCGAGGGAGCUGGCUCUGAUGCGGCCCUGGUCGCGUUACCUGGCGCCCACCUGUAUAUACAGGUCCUCGGGAAUACAUGUUCCGACGGUUGCCACGGUUCGCC
This 157-nucleotide unclassified non-coding RNA is filed under the name Jannaschia rubra. RNAcentral's name for it is "6S / SsrS RNA". Lineage: Bacteria; Pseudomonadati; Pseudomonadota; Alphaproteobacteria; Rhodobacterales; Roseobacteraceae. The record is from RNAcentral.